RNAcentral lists this long non-coding RNA (215 nucleotides) under Mytilus galloprovincialis (Mediterranean mussel). The record is from RNAcentral. Lineage: Eukaryota; Metazoa; Mollusca; Bivalvia; Mytilida; Mytilidae.
GGUCGGUGAAGUCCAUUUCGCGUUUUCGCGAUUUCGCCUUUCAUAUUCUAUAGGGCGAAAACGCGAAAUCGCGAAAAGGCGAAACCGCGAAGUCGAAAACGAGAAAUCGGUUUCGCAGUUUCGCGUUUUCGACUUCGCAAUUUCGCGUUUUCGCCAUAUAGAAUAUGUAAGGCGAAAACGCUUUAGCGCUAAAACGCAAAAUGGCAUUAACCUGC